RNA transcript from Numida meleagris (helmeted guineafowl), 3155 nucleotides. It is a transcript of the gene named oocyte zinc finger protein XlCOF19-like, with no coding region annotated. The record is from RefSeq and is a predicted model, not a curated record. The transcript is spliced from 3 exons. Lineage: Eukaryota; Metazoa; Chordata; Aves; Galliformes; Numididae.
UGAGAAAAUACCCCGAGUCACGGCUGCAAGCAGGCAUCAGCCAGGAGGGCUUGGAUCAGCUCCUGCAAACUGCCCUGGUGUUGCUGCGCUGCGUGGUGCCACCAGCUCCGGCAGCCUGGCAGCUCCCUGCUUCUCUCUUGCCCUUCUUUUUCUCUCCCGUGGAAGUCCUGGAAACCUUUGUGAAGCCCUGGGCCCUGAGCACUUUGGAGAAAUGUAAAAACCAUAAUCGUAAGGGGAGCGUCAGAGACACGUUCCGUGCUUAGUUAUCAGAUGGGUGGAGGUGACGCUGGGCUUGAAGGGAAGGCAGCGUGUGAGUGCUGGUGCAGCGUCGUUCAGGCCCGUGCUGUGCUUCCAGGAGCUGGGAGGGACGCGCGCUGCAGUUGCUCUGUUCUUUGAGCUUCGCUUUCAGCCCCCAAACCUGCGGUGAUCUCCAUGCUGGAGGGAGGGGAAGAGCCGUGCAUGCCAGAUGUGCGUGGCCUGGAGGAGCUGGCGGGAGAGCUCAGCCCAGGUGAUGGGAUCGUGACUGUAAAGGACGACCUGCAGAAGCGUGGCGAGGCUGAAGGGCAGCGGGGCAGCGCCUCGGUGGGACAAAUCACUGGGGAUGGGCAGGGUGUCCCGGAGCAAGGAGAGCACCUGGAGAAGCAAGAGGGAAACCAGCAGGGAGAGAGAGCGGGGCAGGCCCUGGGCUGCAGCACGGGUGAAAAGCAGCGUGCGGAUCCAAGGAGCAAGGAGAAAAGGCAGAAGCCGAGCGCCGAGAGCGGGAAGAGGCUGAGGAGGAAUUGCAGCCUGGUGAAGCACCGCUGCGUGCUCUCGGUGAAGCGACUGUACAAGUGCUCGGAGUGCGCCCAAAGCUUCAAGUGGAAAUGCAACCUGGCCUGCCACCAGCGCAUCCACACGAGGGAGAGGCCCUUCCAGUGCCCCGAGUGCCCCAGGAGGUUCAAAACCAAUUCCCACCUCACCUGCCACCGGCGCAGCCACGCGGGACAGCGGCCCAUUAAGUACUGCGAGUGCGGCAAGAGCUUCCAGUACAGCUCCGUCCUGAAGCGGCACCAGCGCGUCCACACCGGGGAGAGGCCCUUCCAGUGCCCGGAGUGUGCCAAGAGCUUCAAGAACAAUUCCCACCUCACCUGCCACCAGCGCAUCCACACGGGGGAGAGGCCCUUCCAGUGCCGCGCGUGCGGCCAGAGCUUCAAGUACAGCUUCGUGCUGAAGCGGCACCAGCGCAUGCACGCGGCGGAGCGAGCCUUCAAGUGCCCCGAGUGCGGGAAGGGCUUCCAGUUGGGUGGGGAAUUGCAGCGCCACGAGCGCGUCCACACGGGAGAGAGGCCCUUCCAGUGCCCGGAGUGUGGGACGGGCUUCAAGUGCAGCUUUGUGCUGAAGCGGCACCAGCGCAUCCACAGAGAGAGACCCUGUAAGCGCUGAGUGUGGCAGGAGUUUUCAGUGCACUCUGUACCUCCUCUGCCACCCGUGCAUCCACACCGGGUGUGAACGUUGCGAGUGCUCGCUGCUUCCUCCGCCGGGUGGAACCGUGCUUUAACGCGGAGCAGCCAGCAGGGGGCGCUCGCUGUCAAGAUGUGUUCCAUGGUGUGCAAUGGGAACCGUGCUUUAACGCGGUGCCGCCAGCAGGGGGCGCUCGCUGCUAAGAAGAUGUGUUCCAUGGUGUGCAAUGGGAGCCGUGCUUUACCGCGGUGCCGCCAGCAGGGGNCUGCUAAGAAGAUGUGUUCCAUGGUGUGCAAUGGGAGCCGUGCUUUACCGCGGUGCCGCCAGCAGGGGGCGCUCGCUGCUAAGAAGAUGUGUUCCCGUGCGUGUGAACUGGGAGGCAGCGCAGGGAGCCCAGCAGGGAAUGGUGCGUGUGGCUGAGAGCAGGGAAAUACAAACCCCGUCCAGGUUCGGGUGCCCGGCCGCGGUUGCAGGACAGUUCCAGCCCCUCCUGUUCCAAUCCCCACUGAGGUUAUCACUGAUGACUUCUGCUUUCCUGACUGCUCCUCUUCACCCCUCCAUUCACUUUUGGAGAAUUGCUGCUUGCUGGCACUGUCCUGCUGCCACCAAGCCUAGUCAGCCCAGCAGCGACGCAGAGAUUUCAAGUUCCCAACGUGAAAUCCUGCUUCAAAACCCCCUGGAUUAGCCAGCCUGCUUCCGUGAAUCCUGACCCCCAUGCGCCCAGCAGGUGGUGGUGUGUGUGUCACGCUUGAGGGUCACUCCAGUGUUCAGACCAGCCUUGCAAGUUCAACUUGGUUUGCUCUGCUCCUCACACGCCUGCUCACUGCAUCCCUUGUGUGGCAAGGGGCCUUUCUGUGGGCUGUAAAAGGGGAAAGGGAAGGAUCCUAGAACGAAUCAUAGAAUGGCCCAGGUUGAGCAGCACCUCCAAGCUCAGACGGGGCCUCCCUGGAGCCGAGCAGAGGGGGACAAUCCCCUCCCUGUCCCUGCUGCCCACUCCUCCUUUCACGCAGCCCACAACGCAGUUGGCCUUCGGGGCUGCGGCACACGCUGCUGGCUCACGUCCGGCUUCUCAUGCACCAGAGCAUGGUGAGGUGGAUUGUGAACUGGCAGAGCUCGGAGGGUUGUGAUUCUGGGUGCAGAGUCUGGUUGGAGGCCUGCAGCUAGCGGGGUUCCGCAGGGGUCGGGGCUGGGUCCAAUCUUGUUCAGCUUCAUCAGGGAGCUGGAUGAAGGGAUAGAGAGCAGCCUCACCAAGUACAAAGCUGGGAGGAGCGGCUGACGGAGCAGAAGUCUGUGCUGCCAUUCAACGAGCCGUGAGCAGACCGCUCAGCUGGGCAGAGCAGAACGCGAUGAAUUUCAACAGGGACAAGAAUAGGGUCCCGCAGCCGGGGAGGACAAAUCAGCUGCGUCGGUACCGGGAGGUAAAUGCUCUCUUCUCCCAGAGCCUCGGCACAAGUUCCCCGGUCAGACACAACAGUCUCCUUCCCCAUUGGCUCGUCCUACAGCACACGGGGAUGGCUCAUUCCUGUGCUUUGAAGAAUUCCUUCUUGAGCAAGUCCAGCCUUCCAGGAGCCCUUUACCCUUCAGGACUGGCACCCAAGGGCCCCUCCUGUUGUGGUUUAACCUGGCAGGGGGCUCAGCAGCACCCACUUGUUUGCUCCCUCCCUCUCUCCCUUCCCAGUGGGAUUGGGUGGAAUAACAAACAAAGCAAAGUAGAA